RNAcentral lists this unclassified non-coding RNA (2893 nucleotides) under Schistocerca americana (American grasshopper). RNAcentral describes it as "ras GTPase-activating protein 1, transcript variant X1". The record is from RNAcentral. Lineage: Eukaryota; Metazoa; Arthropoda; Insecta; Orthoptera; Acrididae.
CUUCUCCAACAACACGCGUGUUAGAAAAUCUGUGAUAGUACUUUGUUUGCAGGCAAAGAUGUGAAACAUUAUAACCUGUUUAUUCGUCUGGUGUAGUGCAAAGAUAAUUUGACGUUUAGGGUAGAAGUCAGUUUUCAUUAUAGCGCGAGGCGUGUGGGGAGUGAAGGAUGAUAAGGUAUUAGUAAUAGGAAGGUAAGAUUAAAGCCAAGAUGGCUGAGUUUGUGAGGGGUGGACCGGCGACGGGGAUAAUUCUGCCGAAAGAAAAGCUUCAGGGUUCCCCUAGCACAGGGAGUGAUGAAGGACACGACGGUGCUAUUGGGGAGGAGUUCGAUCCUUUUUUGGGAGACGCCGAAGAAGCUGAAGGUGCUAAUGUGUCAACGGUAGUAGCACCUCCUGAAAAUUUAUGGUACCAUGGACGGCUUGAUCGGUAUACAGCCGAAGAACGUCUAUGGCAAGCAGCAAAAAUGGGAAGUUACCUUGUUCGUGAAAGUGACAGAAAACCAGGGUCGUAUGUGUUAUCGUAUCUUGGUCGAACAGGAAUCAAUCACUUUAGGAUAACUGCUGUCUGUGGUGAUUUCUACAUUGGUGGUAGGCAGUUCGAUUCACUGUCUGAUCUCAUAGGUUACUACACAAGCUGCUCAGACCUUUUGAAACGCGAAAGGUUAAUGCAUCCUGUUCCACCACCUGAACCAGUAAACGAUAAGAAAAGAAUUGUUGCCAUUUUACCAUACACCAAAAUGCCCGACACAGAUGAGCUAAGUUUUCAGAAAGGUGAUAUAUUUUUUGUCCAUAAUGACAUGGGAGAUGGAUGGCUGUGGGUAACGGCACAUCGGACUGGCGAACAGGGAAUGAUUUUCCGAGAUUUGGUUGAAGACUUGGAUGAAAAUAUUGAUCCAAAUACUGUUUUUAGUUGGUUUCAUCCGAAUGUUACCAAAAGUGAAGCUGUUGAUAUGCUUGUUAAAGCUGGACCGGGAAGCUUCCUUGUUAGACCAAGUGACAACUCACCUGGAGACUAUUCUCUGUUCUUUCACAUCAAUAAUCAGAUUCAAAGAUUUCGUAUUGAGAAGAAGGGUGUUCGAUAUUUGAUGGGUGGCCGUACAUUUGAAUGUUUGGAUGCUGUCAUAAACAGAUAUAGAAAGGAACAGAUUGUGGAAGGCCACACGUUAGUUAUGGCUGUGAGUAGGAAUAUGGAUGGAGAUGGAACAAUAAAAUCAAAAGAAGUACAGCAUGCUGAGAAGAUUUAUGCCACACUUCGUGAAUGCAGGGAACAAUCGGGGGUGAAGAAAAAUAAAGGCAUUAAAAUGCAGGGUUACCUCAACAAGAAGAGUGAGAAAAACAAGAAAUGGAAGUCAAUGUAUUUUGUGUUAUUGGUUGAUGGAACUGAUACUCAUUUAUAUUUUUAUGAUAAUCCAAAGCGUACAAAACCAAAGGGUCUUAUUGAUCUCAGCUGUGCCUACCUGUAUCAGGUCCAUGAUAGUGUUUUUGAUCGACCACAUUGCUUCCAGCUUGUUGAACGUGCACUGCCAUGUUUGGCUACAAUCACCUAUUUGUGUUCUAAUUCUGCUGACACCACACAGGACUGGAUAACAGCAUUGAAGCCUCUCUGUGUAACACAGCAAACAAGAUCACCCAAGGUGCAAAGGUUGAGAGAGUUAAGGUGCCUGCAGCUGCAUAUUCUUGAUGCUCAUAGGUUGCCAUACAAGUUAGUGCCAAACCCUUUUUGUAUUAUAUCUCUUAAUCAAGUGAAAGUGGCCCGUACAAAAGUAAAAACAGGGCCAGAUCCAGUCUGGGAUGAGGAGUUUAUUCUGGAUGAUGUCCCACCAGAUGUUUUAACAUUCACUGUAACUGUGUACAACAAAGGAAAGCGUUCAAAGGAUACUGAAGUUGCUGAGUUGACAGUGGAGCUCAGUAGUUUGACCAAUGGGGAUGAGACGGAGGACUGGUACCAGCUGUCGGGCAUCACACCAAUCGGCGAAUGGGGCUCACUACGUCUGCGCACAAGAUAUCUCCAUGACCUUAUAAUGCCACAAGAAGAGUACUCUCCACUGCAGCAGUUGGUACUGGAUCCAUCUCUGGAAGUGGUUCGAGCUUUGGCAGACACAUGCCACUUGGACAGAGCCCCACUAGCUACUUCUUUGCUGCGUAUUUUUAGGUAUGAAAGGAAGGAAGCUGACCUGUUGAAAGCACUAAAUGAAGCUGAGAUCGAGAAAGAAGAAGAAACAUCUACGCUUUUCCGAGCAGCAUCUCUCACAACUACCCUCAUGGACUUAUAUAUGAAAUCUGUCUGCACUGGUUUUCUACAAUCAGCUAUUCAGGAUACUAUUUUAAAACUGCUUGAAUCGAAACAGUCAUGUGAGUUGAAUCCAACAAAGAUGGAAUCGCCCGAUGAUGCUUGUGCCAAUGCUGAGUUUCUGCUUCAAGUUCUUGAUGAAGUUACUCAUUCCAUCUUUAUGUCUGCCGAUGCUUGCCCAAAGACUGUAAGAUACAUCUGUGGCUGUUUGCAGAGGUCUGUAAUGAGCAAGUGGCCUCAUGAGAGACUUGUACGCACACGUGUUGUAAGUGGGUUCAUAUUCCUGAGGUUACUCUGCCCAGCAAUUCUGAAUCCUCGACAGUUUAAUCUGAUAUCAGAUAGAAAGCAUGCAAAACCAGAAAUCUGCAAGUCAAGAAGUAAAGUGCAUACAUAAAGUCCUAAAGGUGAUCAAUCUGUAUGGACUCAUUUGCUUGAUUUCUUGAUGUACAACCUCUUAAAGAAAAUAGGCAGGUGAUGCAAGGAGCCUCCACCACCUAUGGCUGCAAGAUCUCUUAUAAUGGUUGCUAAGUGCCUUCAAAAUCUUGCUAAUCUCAUUGAAUUUGGAGGGAAGGAACCCUACAUGGAAGUUGUCAACCCCUUUAU